AUAACGUCUGACUAUGAGACUAUGAUGCCAGGUCCAAAAGCUGAGCCUCAAUGUUGCUGCAGCUGUUCGGCCCCAAACUUUGGUGAUCCUUCAUCUUUACCAUUACCAUCAGCACCACCACCUGACCUCUGCUCCAGCUUCCUACCAAAGCAUCGGGAGUCUGCUCUCUCAUUUGGCGUUGGUGAAUAUGUUGAUGUGGAUGUACUAGGAAACAUCUGCCAGUACCAACAUCUGGAUCUCAGCCAGUUAGAAGAGCAUGUCUAUCAAAGUCUUCAUGUACAUAGUUGUCCUAAACACGAACCUAUUAAAGAGGAGAUGAACUGUUUAAAUGUCAAAAGAUAAUUCUAGGCUAAUCACACCUUAAGUCUUAGUAGUGUGGUUUCAAUCAGCCUCUCACAAAAAGUACACAGAGUACAUAGUGACAUAGAGUAGCUUGGUAAAUAUGUAAUUAAUAAUUAAAAAGAUGAAAUGAAAUUACCAAUCCUGAUCCUGAUUUAAUAUACUAGUUUUAUCCUUUUACAGUGUUUGGAUGAAAGAAAGAGCUGAGUAAUUCAAAACUUUUGGAUCUUUAUGCAAUUUCUUAAAGUGUACAUUUUUAUUUUGUUUAAAUGGCAAAAAGAAAAAAGAAAAACCAAAAACUGUGAGUGGAUGGUUUAAGCACUAUCAGUUUGCUCUAUGAUUUGUAUUAUAUUUGCCAAAAUAAACCAACAGGUUCAUAUCUGAAGUGUUUCUUGUAGUUAUUAUUUACUGACCUGUAACCUCUUGAUUACUAAUUGUGAAAAAAGUGCAUGGGAGGGACAUGCUGAUGGUCAUGGUUUUUGGGGAGAAAAUUAGACAGAGGAAACUGGUGAAAGACAGGAAGUGAAACAAAAAAGAGGAACCCGUGAAGAAAAGCAGACUUGGUAUUCAUUUAGAAAGACUUGCAAGGGCAAAGAAUCAGGGUGAUUAAAGUAAAGCCCGAGGACAGUUACAAAAAGAAACCUUACGUGAAGCAUGGAGAUGACUUUGAUCUUUCUGAUAUUUCUUUUGGAAGGAUUAUGGGAGACUAAAGCUAUCUCAGUAACAGGAAACAAGGGCAGCUCUAUCACAGUAACCUGCUCUCACUCCAACGCCUACUACAAUGUCAAAUAUUUCUGCAAAGGACAAUGCACAGAUAAAGACAUCCUCAUAAACAGCACUACCAUUUCAAAUAAAAAAUACAAAAUUGAAGAUAAAGGAAAUACAUUCAGUGUCACUAUCUCUGAUCUGAAAGAAGAUGACUCUGGAACUUACUGGUGUGGAAUUGAACGAGUUGGUUUGGACACAUAUACUCAAGUAACCCUUACAGUUUUAGCUAACCAAGAUAAGACAGAUUAUACACAUGCUUCUUUUUCUGAGACGGUGGUGUAUACUGGAGUAAUUCUUGGUGUCGUGAUGCUAGUGCUGGGUGUGGGCCUUCUGAUUUUCUUCAGACAUCGAAACAGUAACAUCAGCACAUCAUCUGGAUGGUACUAUGACCUAGUGUUCAGGUCCUGUCAAAAACAAGAUGCCUGCCAUGACAAGAACGCUUCUCCAUCCAAGGAGGAUCAAGAAACAGAUGGUGGAACUAAGAGCGCCAAUCAGCAUCAAGAUACAUCAGAGCCUCAGAAGGAAUCAGGCAAUCUCAUCUACACGACUGUUACCUUCACAAAUCAAACAGAGUCCAGCAUGGUUUCAUCCCACUGUGUAGCAUCUAUAAAAUCAUCCUCUAAGCCAAAAUCGACAGAAGAAUCUACAAUCUAUAGCAACAUCUCAACUCAGUGCUGA
Oreochromis niloticus (Nile tilapia) is the source of this 1785-nucleotide long non-coding RNA. Lineage: Eukaryota; Metazoa; Chordata; Actinopteri; Cichliformes; Cichlidae. The record is from Ensembl.